AUGGAUUACAAGCGAGAUCACCCUGCAUGGCAUGCAGGGGGUCAGCGGUUCGAGUCCGCUUGGCUCCA
RNAcentral lists this transfer RNA (68 nucleotides) under Cyanobium gracile PCC 6307. Its description in RNAcentral is "tRNA-Ala (GGC) (tRNA-Ala-GGC-2-1)". It matches the Rfam family "tRNA". From Rfam's summary of the family: Transfer RNA (tRNA) molecules are approximately 80 nucleotides in length. Their secondary structure includes four short double-helical elements and three loops (D, anti-codon, and T loops). The record is from RNAcentral. Lineage: Bacteria; Bacillati; Cyanobacteriota; Cyanophyceae; Synechococcales; Prochlorococcaceae.